CGGCGAACAGCGGACGCGACGCGGUAUAGCAAAUUUGUUCAAUGUGAUGUCAUUUACAGAUGAUAUACGGAAUUUCGAAUUUGAUUAAGAAAGAAAAUUUCAAAUACUAACAUAAUAUACCUAUCCGAAACUCGACAUUUUAUACUUAUAGAAAAUACGUUGGGAAAAACUAUUAUUUCUAAGCGAACAAUUUCUUUAAUCAUGAGUGUU
Molecule: long non-coding RNA, 210 nt
Organism: Pieris rapae (cabbage white)
Lineage: Eukaryota; Metazoa; Arthropoda; Insecta; Lepidoptera; Pieridae
Exons: 2
Source: RefSeq, a predicted model, not a curated record